Molecule: ribosomal RNA, 957 nt
Filed under: Triticum aestivum (bread wheat)
Lineage: Eukaryota; Viridiplantae; Streptophyta; Magnoliopsida; Poales; Poaceae
Description: partial small subunit ribosomal RNA
Source: RNAcentral
AUGGCGAAGAAGAGGAAGCGCAGCUCCGAUGCUCCCGCCUCUGCUGCCGUAGAGAAGCCUGAUGACUCUGCCCCCGAGCGGCCGGAACGCACCCUCUUUGGGUUCAAGGACUCGGCCGCCGAGCCUGCUUCUAAGGACGCUGGGCCGCUCUUCCGGAACAAGGAGAAGGUGCUCAUUACGUGCUCCCGCCGCAUCAUUUACAGGUACCGGCAUCUGAUGCAGAACGUGGUGUCGCUGCUGCCGCACGCCAAGAAGGACAGCAAGGUUGAGUCCAAGCAGAGCAAGGGCAGCGCGCUCAACGAGCUGGUCGAGCUCAGGAGCUGCUCCAGCUGCCUCUUUUUCGAGUGCAGAAAACAGAAAGAUCUUUACCUUUGGAUGGUCAAGUCCCCUGCAGGGCCAUCAGUGAAAUUUCUAGUCAAUGCUGUUCACACCAUGGAGGAACUGAGGCUCACCGGCAACCAUCUGAAAGGGUCACGUCCUCUGCUAACAUUUUCUUCAAAUUUUGACCAGCAACCUCAUUGGAAGCUCUUGAAGGAAAUGAUAACACAAAUUUUUGCUACUCCAAAAGAUCAUAGGAAGGCAAAACCUUUUCAUGAUCAUGUUUUUGUGUUCUCCAUUGUGGAUGACCACAUUUGGUUCAGAAAUUACCAGAUAUCUGUACCCCACAAUGAGAUUGACAAAGUUGAUAAAGGAGGCCUAGAUAAAAUGACACUUGUUGAGGUUGGCCCCAGGUUCUGUUUGAAUCCAAUAAAAAUAUUUGGUGGUAGUUUUGGUGGCCCCACAUUGUUCGAGAACCCAUUCUAUGUGUCUCCCAAUCAGAUCCGCGCACUGGAGAAACGGAAGAAGGCAGGCAAGUACGCCAAGAAGGUGAAGGCCAAGGUGAGGAGGAAGAUGCACGAGAUGGAGAACACCCUCGAGCCCGACGAGUUUGCUGAUCUUUGGAAAGGGGAAGACUAG